AAACCCGUCCAUUAUUCUGGCCAAUUAUUCAUGUGCAUUCCCACUCCCACUACUCCCCUCAUUAAUUCCGUUUUCUAUAUUCCUUUCAUCUCCUCCUUUCUGAAACCUUUAUUUCAAAUUUUCCUUUGCUUCUCUCACUAUCCAUUAUCAAUAUGCCAAUCAGUGGCUUUCUCCUCAACAAAUUCUCAUCACUGCAUAACUCAUUCCAAUUCCCAAAUACAUGCAGGCCAAUGAAUUUUUGAAAUUCAAAUUUAAAAUUCUCUUCCUAAUUAAAUUCAAUGCAUUCCAUCAGUCCUCCAUGAAUAUUCUAGGGAACCUGCAAUCUUUUCAAACCUUCUAAAACAAGCUUUUAUGAAUUCCAAUUCUGAGCUUUUCCAUUCACACAAUCCUCCCUUUCUUCUCCACGCCUCCAACCUAUGCUCCCCCAUUCCCCUUGGGCUUCCUCCCACACCGGCGAUCCCCAAUCCCUAGACAACUCCACCAUCGCGCCCUAUCCCCCCAUCCGUGCCUCCUUCCAUCACCACUGUCGUUGCGAGAUCAAACCUUAUCGUCGCCGGGUGGUACUUUCACUCCCUCCUAGGAUUUCCUUCUCAUUGACUCUGACACUACCAACAUCUCUAUCAAAUUCUGUUUUGGGUCUUAUGAAAACACCUCCAACAGCGACGACAGAAACACCUGCAUGCGAAGACGGUGGCGGAAGGGUGUUUCUUGAGCAGGGGUUCGACGGCCAAAACCCCUUAGACUGGACUCAGUCCAUGAAUCGAAGAUUGGGGGUUUUGUCUAAGGACUUUUGAUAACAAGAUUGUUUUUAAUUUAUGGGUUCUGUUAUUGGCCUUAAUCCAGAAGGUCUUCUUAUUGUAAAGGGUUCUCUGAUUCUCUCACACUAUGAAGAACCAAGGAAAAAGCAAUGUUCGAGAAUAUGAAAGUUAAAUUAAGAGUUAUGUAAUUUUUUAUUUUAUUUGUAAUUAAUAGCUCUUUAAUUGGUUCCUUGAUUUGACAUUUUUAUGCUAAAUUUGCACCUAAUCAAUUAAUUUCAAAUUGUUGCAAAUCCCCCUUUGCUCUUUGGUUUGGAAAUUGGAACAGGAAACUAUAUUCAUGGGGGAAGAUUAAAAACCGUCAUCUAAUAAGAUUGGCUAUUUGAGAAGACUUUCAUUGUUAAGCUACACAGUGAUGAGUCAUCAUCCAAACCUGCAUGCUUGGACAGGUAUUAUGGGGAAAAUGCUCACUGCUCUGAACCCUGUUCUGCUUAGAGAAAUUCUCUAAAUGGUGUCUCAUUCAAGAAGCUCAAAGCUUAAGAUUAUUUUUUAAAAAUCAUUGAAAACAGUUGAAAUGGUGUGUUUCAUUAUAAUGUGAAAGUUGCUGGGUUAAAAUGGUUGAAAUGAUGUGUUUGGCGACAUAAAUCUUUUGUAUUUAGUACUUUUUUUAUUGGUUGGGAGUUUGUCCUUAAAUCAUGUAAUCUCAAGUACUAUCAUAUAUAGUUUUAAUUUGUUAUUUUAAGUACUAAAUAAAGAAUAUGGAUCUCUGCUUUCUACUCA
Lotus japonicus is the source of this 1535-nucleotide long non-coding RNA. RefSeq lists it as uncharacterized. The record is from RefSeq and is a predicted model, not a curated record. NCBI's taxonomy places the organism in Eukaryota, Viridiplantae, Streptophyta, Magnoliopsida, Fabales, Fabaceae. The transcript is spliced from 6 exons.